This 660-nucleotide ribosomal RNA is filed under the name Staphylococcus aureus. Its description in RNAcentral is "bacterial SSU rRNA". It matches the Rfam family "Bacterial small subunit ribosomal RNA", at positions 126 to 762 of the family's 1533-position model. Lineage: Bacteria; Bacillati; Bacillota; Bacilli; Caryophanales; Staphylococcaceae. The record is from RNAcentral.
CGGUGUUUAGAGGUGUGGGUCGGGAAACCGGAGCUAAUACCGGAUAAUAUUUUGAACCGCAUGGUUCAAAAGUGAAAGACGGUCUUGCUGUCACUUAUAGAUGGAUCCGCGCUGCAUUAGCUAGUUGGUAAGGUAACGGCUUACCAAGGCAACGAUGCAUAGCCGACCUGAGAGGGUGGUGUGAGAGACGCGUUAUCGGCCACACUGGAACUGAGACACGGUCCAGACUCCUACGGGAGGCAGCAGUAGGGAAUCUUCCGCAAUGGGCGAAAGCCUGACGGAGCAACGCCGCGUGAGUGAUGAAGGUCUUCGGAUCGUAAAACUCUGUUAUUAGGGAAGAACAUAUGUGUAAGUAACUGUGCACAUCUUGACGGUACCUAAUCAGAAAGCCACGGCUAACUACGUGCCAGCAGCCGCGGUAAUACGUAGGUGGCAAGCGUUAUCCGGAAUUAUUGGGCGUAAAGCGCGCGUAGGCGGUUUUUUAAGUCUGAUGUGAAAGCCCACGGCUCAACCGUGGAGGGUCAUUGGAAACUGGAAAACUUGAGUGCAGAAGAGGAAAGUGGAAUUCCAUGUGUAGCGGUGAAAUGCGCAGAGAUAUGGAGGAACACCAGUGGCGAAGCGACUUUCUGGUCUGUAACUGACGCUGAUGUGCGAAAGCGU